CCUACGGGUGGCAGCAGUGGGGGAUAUUGCACAAUGGGGGGAACCCUGAUGCAGCGACGCCGCGUGGGUGAAGAAGCGCCUCGGCGCGUAAAGCCCUGUCAGCAGGGAAGAAAAUGACGGUACCUGAAGAAGAAGCCCCGGCUAACUACGUGCCAGCAGCCGCGGUAAUACGUAGGGGGCAAGCAUUAUCCGGAUUUACUGGGUGUAAAGGGGGCGCAGACGGCGAUGCAAGCCAGGAGUGAAAGCCCGGGGCCCAACCCCGGGACUGCUCUUGGAACUGCGUGGCUGGAGUGCAGGAGGGGCAGGCGGAAUUCCGAGUGUAGCGGUGAAAUGCGUAGAUAUUCGGAGGAACACCGGUGGCGAAGGCGGCCAACUGGGCUUUAACUGACGCUGAGGCUCGAAAGUGUGGGGAGCAAACAGGAUUAGAUACCCGAGUAGUC
RNAcentral lists this ribosomal RNA (440 nucleotides) under uncultured bacterium. RNAcentral describes it as "partial 16S ribosomal RNA". It matches the Rfam family "Bacterial small subunit ribosomal RNA", at positions 338 to 795 of the family's 1533-position model. The record is from RNAcentral.